AAGGGGAAAAGCGAAGGCCGCCCGCCUAUCGGCGAAACGCGCUGGAGGGCCUGCGAGGAGGCUGUUGCCGCCGCAGCAGGACCGAAGCGUCGCGAGCCGAUGGCGGCCGGAGCUGGACAAUUCGAAAAGCGGAGGCCGCAAUGGCCAACUGUCGAUACACAGCGCUUUCGUUUCGUUCGGUUUUGAGGGAAUGAGAAAUUCCUUCAAAAGCGCCUGUGCCUGCGUCUGCUAGCAGGUUCAGGGAAGCAAGAUUCCUCGGCACAAAGCCGCAAGGAAGUUUGUUCAAAGAAGUCGCUUUGCGUCUACAAGCGGAUUCGGAGAAGCCGAAUUCCUCGACGCAAGACUGCAGAGAAGUGAAUUCAAUGAAGUAGUCUCGUUUGCGUCUGCGUCUACAAGCGGAUUCGGAGAAGCCGAAUUCCUCGACGCAAACCAGCGAAGAAGCGAAUUCAAAGGAGCUACUUUGCGCCUUCGUCUUCCAGCAGGUUCAAGGAAGAUGGAUUCCUCGGCGCAAAGCUGCAAAGAAGCAGACUCAAGGCAGCAGCUUCGUUCCUUGAAAACUAGAUAACCGGAAAAGCGGAGGCGAGUGUUUCGCCGCGAUGGGCAAAUGUUCUUCGCCCACAGGGGUGCUGGCACCCCGAGGGGGAAGGUUAUUUGACCCCGAGCGGCGGCGAGCCGACGCUAGACAAUAAGGAAGAAGCUGAGAGCGCUGUA
This 711-nucleotide unclassified non-coding RNA is filed under the name Geobacillus stearothermophilus. RNAcentral describes it as "16S-23S ribosomal RNA intergenic spacer". The record is from RNAcentral. Lineage: Bacteria; Bacillati; Bacillota; Bacilli; Caryophanales; Anoxybacillaceae.